Molecule: microRNA precursor, 188 nt
Filed under: Oryza brachyantha (malo sina)
Lineage: Eukaryota; Viridiplantae; Streptophyta; Magnoliopsida; Poales; Poaceae
Description: MIR812 microRNA precursor family
Rfam family: MIR812 microRNA precursor family
Source: Rfam by way of RNAcentral
AAUAAACCAAUUUUUUACUUUUUAUCUAUAAUUUUUGACUCUUCGUCUUAUUUAAUUUUUUUACGAUUGAUAUUUUUUUAUUAGAUGAUAAAUUAUGAAUAGUACUUUACUUGUGACUAAUUUUUUUUCUAAUUUUAUAAAAAAAAUUUAAAUAAUACGGAUGAUCAAAUGUUGGACAGAAACCGAAG